GACGAACCGUGCGAACGUUGUUCGGAAUCACUGGGCUUAAAGGGCGCGUAGGCGGGCUGCCAAGUCCGGGGUGAAAUCUUUCGGCCCAACCGGAAAAGUGCCUUGGAUACUGGCGGCCUGGAGGGAGGCAGGGGCGGAUGGAACUUCCGGUGGAGCGGUGAAAUGCGUUGAUAUCAUUUGGAACGCCAAUGGUGAAAACAGGUAGCUGGGAGUGUGCUGACACUGAGACACGAAAGCCAGGGGAGCGAACGGG
RNAcentral lists this ribosomal RNA (253 nucleotides) under uncultured bacterium. RNAcentral describes it as "partial 16S ribosomal RNA". It matches the Rfam family "Bacterial small subunit ribosomal RNA", at positions 524 to 776 of the family's 1533-position model. The record is from RNAcentral.